AUUUCCUUGUAACUUCUUCAUAAAUUUAUUUCUUGCACCAAAACAAUGUCAUCCAAGACAGACCUUGUAAAAAUAGGAAUGGAAGGUUUUGCAAUACUGGAUGCGUACUAUGGAAAGAAGGGCAGGUCUAAUCCACAAAAGCCUUAUGGUCCACAAGAACCUAAACUGACUUGUCUUUACCAGUAGCAACCACAACAGGCACUAGUUUAUCAGGUAAAACAGGAUGAGAUUAUGAACUCCUACAAGGUGUUGCAGCUUCAUGAAGGCGUGAUGGUUAAGGAUUAUACCAGUAAAUCUCAAGCUAUGUCUUAUUAGACUCUCUUUUUUGGACAGUCUAUAUGUUAUAAAAUAUAUCUACAUAGUUAGCAGGCUCCCUUUGUAUGAUACAAAUGCGGAGUCACUGUAUAAAUACUAGUCACCCGGAAGUUUUUAGGUGUAGACAAAAUUUAUCACACUUUUUUAUAUGAAUUGAAUAAUUAUCAGCUUUAGUAUUGAA
Olea europaea var. sylvestris is the source of this 496-nucleotide long non-coding RNA. RefSeq lists it as uncharacterized. The record is from RefSeq and is a predicted model, not a curated record. NCBI's taxonomy places the organism in Eukaryota, Viridiplantae, Streptophyta, Magnoliopsida, Lamiales, Oleaceae. The transcript has 2 exons.